GAUGAACGCUGGCGGCAGGCCUAACACAUGCAAGUCGAGCGGAGCGGCGGACGGGUGAGUAAUGCCUAGGAAUCUGCCUGGUAGUGGGGGAUAACGUCCGGAAACGGGCGCUAAUACCGCAUACUAUCAGAUGAGCCUAGGUCGGAUUAGCUAGUUGGUGGGGUAACGGCCUACCAAGGCGACGAUCCGUAACUGGUCUGAGAGGCUGAUCAGUCACACUGGAACUGAGACACGGUCCAGACUCCUACGGGAGGCAGCAGUGGGGAAGAUUUGACAAUGGGCGAAAGCCUGAUCCAGCCAUGCCGCGUGUGUGAAGAAGGUCUUCGGAUUGUAAAGCACUUUCAGCGGGGAGGCGUUACCCGCAGAAGAAGCACCGGCUAACUCCGUGCCAGCAGCCGCGGUAAUUC
RNAcentral lists this ribosomal RNA (407 nucleotides) under uncultured bacterium. RNAcentral describes it as "partial 16S ribosomal RNA". It matches the Rfam family "Bacterial small subunit ribosomal RNA", at positions 28 to 526 of the family's 1533-position model. The record is from RNAcentral.